RNAcentral lists this ribosomal RNA (481 nucleotides) under uncultured bacterium. RNAcentral's name for it is "bacterial SSU rRNA". It matches the Rfam family "Bacterial small subunit ribosomal RNA", at positions 55 to 504 of the family's 1533-position model. The record is from RNAcentral.
AUGCAGUCGAGCGAGCGGAACCAACAGAUUUACUUCGGUAAUGACGUUGGGAAAGCGAGCGGCGGAUGGGUGAGUAACACGUGGGGAACCUGCCCCUAAGUCUGGGAUACCAUUUGGAAACAGGUGCUAAUACCGGAUAAUAAAGCAGAUCGCAUGAUCAGCUUUUGAAAGGCGGCGUAAGCUGUCGCUAAGGGAUGGCCCCGCGGUGCAUUAGCUAGUUGGUAAGGUAACGGCUUACCAAGGCAAUGAUGCAUAGCCGAGUUGAGAGACUGAUCGGCCACAAUGGAACUGAGACACGGUCCAUACUCCUACGGGAGGCAGCAGUAGGGAAUCUUCCACAAUGGACGCAAGUCUGAUGGAGCAACGCCGCGUGAGUGAAGAAGGUUUUCGGAUCGUAAAGCUCUGUUGUUGGUGAAGAAGGAUAGAGGUAGUAACUGGCCUUUAUUUGACGGUAAUCAACCAGAAAGUCACGGCUAACUAC